Molecule: ribosomal RNA, 459 nt
Filed under: uncultured bacterium
Lineage: Bacteria
Description: partial 16S ribosomal RNA
Rfam family: Bacterial small subunit ribosomal RNA
Source: RNAcentral
CCUACGGGUGGCAGCAGUGAGGAAUAUUGGUCAAUGGCCGGAAGGCUGAACCAGCCAAGUCGCGUGAGGGAGGACGGCGCUACGGGUUGUAGACCUCUUUUGCCGGGGAGCAAAGUGCAGGACGCGUCCUGCCCUGAGAGUACCUGGAGAAAAAGCAUCGGCUAACUCCGUGCCAGCAGCCGCGGUAAUACGGAGGAUGCGAGCGUUAUCCGGAUUUAUUGGGUUUAAAGGGUGCGCAGGCGGAGGCACAAGUCAGCGGUAAAAUCGCGGGGCUCAACCCCGCUCCGCCGUUGAAACUGUGUCCCUUGAGUGCGCGAAGGGUAGGCGGAAUGCGUGGUGUAGCGGUGAAAUGCAUAGAUAUCACGCAGAACUCCGAUCGCGAAGGCAGCCUACCGGCGCGCAACUGACGCUCAUGCACGAAAGCGUGGGUAUCGAACAGGAUUAGAUACCCCAGUAGUC